RNAcentral lists this ribosomal RNA (221 nucleotides) under uncultured bacterium. RNAcentral's name for it is "partial 16S ribosomal RNA". It matches the Rfam family "Bacterial small subunit ribosomal RNA", at positions 57 to 305 of the family's 1533-position model. The record is from RNAcentral.
GCAAGUCGAACGAAGCCUUCGGGCUUAGUGGCGAACGGGUGAGUAACGCGUGGGAACCUGCCCCGAAGUGGGGAACAACCGCUGGAAACGGCGGCUAAUACCGCAUACGCCCUUAGGGGGAAAGCUUUAUGCGCUUUGGGAGGGUCCCGCGUCCGAUUAGCUAGUUGGAGGGGUAAUGGCCCACCAAGGCGACGAUCGGUAGCUGGUCUGAGAGGAUGAUC